Molecule: ribosomal RNA, 418 nt
Filed under: Onchocerca lienalis
Lineage: Eukaryota; Metazoa; Nematoda; Chromadorea; Rhabditida; Onchocercidae
Description: partial 12S ribosomal RNA
Source: RNAcentral
UUUUUUGUUUAUUUUUAUGUUAUUUUUUGUAAAAUAUUUUAAUUUUUUUUAGUUUAUUGUGGUAUCAAAAAUUUGUUUUUUGAACUGGAUUARUACCCAGGUAAUCAAAAUUUAAUAAUUCGGGAGUAAAGUUUUGUUUAAACCGAAAAAAUAUUGACUGACUUUAGAUUUUUCUUUGGAAUAUGUGAUUUGCUGGAGAGCCCUCUUUUUUGGUGAAUUUUAUUGGCACAUGUAUGAUUGUUUAGUUUUUAUUUUAUUUUGUAAUGCUUUUUUGUUUUUGGCAUUUAAAACAGAUAUAUAUUUGGCUUAUGGAUUCAUGUUUCAUGUGUUACUAUUAUAAAUUUUUUUUGGAUUAAUUUUUUAUUUUUUUUUGAAAUUGGAAAAAAAAGUAAUUUUUUCUUGAUGUUUUARUGAAUUU